This is a long non-coding RNA of Homo sapiens (human), 10088 nucleotides long. RefSeq lists it as uncharacterized. The transcript has 8 exons. NCBI's taxonomy places the organism in Eukaryota, Metazoa, Chordata, Mammalia, Primates, Hominidae. The record is from RefSeq and is a predicted model, not a curated record.
UCCCUUUCCAGCCUCCUGUACACUUCCUUCCUUCAUUAAGCUUAGAGUAAUUUUGAUUACCAAAUAAAUGUGUUUUCAAGAGACAGAAUGACGUCACGUAGCAUGUAAGCCAGUAUCUACACAAUAAUCACUUGAUUUUACCUUAACCUAUAGCCUCAAAAUACUUCUACUCAUGCAGCCAAACCUAAUGUCCAGCCCUGGCACCUAUCCAGAUAGACAGACCCAUUUUCCUACUGCUCAUGCGACAGCUCCACAUGGACAGGCUACAGCACCUCUCUGACUGCAUAAUACACACAGAUCUCAUCCUCCACACUCUUCCUCAUCAAGUCAUCACCAACUUUUCCUCCUCCACUCUCACUCUCAACUAAGGGCACAGCAUCAUCUAGAAAUCAGAUCAAUAGAGAUUCUCUCCAUCAGUUCCCAGUCCCUCACUUCCUAAAAUGCUCACAUGUCUUUCCACCUCACCAUCUCCCCUACACCCCUCACACAACGAAUUAAGGGCCUAGCCACUUCCUUUUGUUUUGUAGAGUUAGUGUGUCCUCAGCAUAUGUUCAAUAAAUGUUUGCCGGAUGAAUGAAUGCAUGCAUGAACCAAUGAAUGAAUGAAAUUACCAGGCAUGGGAAUUCCCUAAUUCAAAUCUUGGAAUCUGCCCCACCUGGGCCUCCUGCCUCCAUGAAGAAACACAUAGUUCCCUCACCUGUGCUCACUUGAGGUCACAGUUCUCAUGGAAACUACAGCUGAGAGUGUCACUGUGGACACCUCCUCCCCAGGGCCAAACACUGACAUGGAGAUGAGGAUGCUCCCAACAGGACCAGUGCAUGAUACUUCCUGCAUUGGACCACGCAAGUCCAUGUCAGCUUAACAAUGGAGAGUGCCAUUUCCACGGGGGUUCCAUCUAACCUUCCCAUGUCCAGACAUUGGACCAGCCCUCUACCCUAGACAGUGUAUGGUUGAAACAUAGGCCAGCGAUCACAGCCCCAAGACUUCCGCCCCCUUGCGUGCCAAGAUCUCAGAAGCCACUGGAGUCCAUGGUGUUCCUGGCCCAUCUUGGCUGUUGGUCAUCAGUCAGCAACCCACUCACAUAGCCCAGCCUCUAUGAAGGGUCCACAGGAGAUAAAACACCAGCCCCCAGUAGGCAUGAAGACAGCACUCAGCCCUGAGACACUGGCAAGGUUGCAGAGGAGCAUUGGAGUGGUCAAGAGAGGUAGCUCACCCAGAAUGAUGCAGGGAGCCAGCCAUACUCUUCCUGACAGAGGGAAGGUGAUUCUGAGGGAGGGUACAGUGUCCUGCACGCCACUGGUGCAUUCAGCCAACAAGCCUGUCCAUUCAGAUCACGUGGCCCCUUCCAGUUGGUAAUGAUGGUCCCUGGAUUUCCCAAGCCUAUUCUUGUUCAUUGUCCUGUUCUCCCCCUCCCUUCCCCCUUCUUUCCCUCAGGUCCCUGCCCCCACCAGGCUGAACUCUGGAUUCAGAGCUCUGAUUGCCAGCCUGCCUGGGGCUCUGUGGUCCUGGUUUCGCAUAUGGUCUCUCUCAUGGACUCUGGCAAUUGCUCUCCCCUGGAUCCUCCCAAUGCCCCUCACGGGCUGAGGGUCUCCUGUCUCUCUCCUUCCUAGGCUCUUGUUCAUUCUGACCAAAUCUUUCUGAAAGGAGAGGAGAAAUCUCCUGUCCACAUAUCAGAAUUUCAAAUCAUUUUUAAUUUUUUAAAAAUGUUAAUUGGUACAGCAUUUUUGCAAUGAAAUUUUAGAAAUAUUUAUAAAAUGCUAAACUAUUUAUACCCUUUUCAUUUUCACCCAACGUCGAUGUUAAUACAUUUCUUAUAAGAAAACAUUAAUGUUUGCCCAAUAAUACAUAUUCGAAGAUGAUUUUAUUCUAUUCAUCAUACAGCAGAUGGGAAACAACUGGUGUCCAUUAGGAAGAAAGAGUUUAAUUAAUUAUGGUGCAUGCCUACUUUAGAAUUAUAGAAAUUAGUUUCAAAAGAGAGAUCUAUAUAUAUAUACACAGUUGUGGAAAGAUCCCAUAUCCAUUUUAUGAAGUGACAAAGGCUAGUGGCAGAUCAAUAUAUACAUUAUCAUUCUUGUGUAUUAAAUAAAAACAAUAUAUUGUUAUAGCUUAUCUGUCAAUUAAUAGCCUAGAGUCAGUUUUAAAAUAAUACAUACCAGAUUGUUAAUUGUGGUGACCUCUAAGGAGGGGGAUAAACUGUGGAGGAGUUUUGUAAAGGGGAAAAUUGUGAAUUAUAUACACUUCUAUAAUUUUUGCAAUAACAAUAUGCAAACUGUUACCUUUGAAAUACAAAAUAUUUAUGCUUAACAGAAAUGGUAGCUAUGGUAGUUACAGUAACUGCUAGCUGAUGCAUCAGAGAAAUGCUGAAAUUUGAUUGGCAUGACACAAGUUUAUUUUAUGCAUACAUAAUUGGUGAUACAGUUUGCCAGGGGCUCUAUACUCUCAUGUGACCCAGGGAUCCAUGCUACUUCCACUUUGUGAUUCCAUCAUCUCAUCUCAAGAUGAAGCUGCCAUGCUUGCCAUUGAAAGGAGGGAGAAAGUGGAAAAUGGCACAGUCGCAAUUCCUGGAUGUGACAAACAAUGCUUCUGCUCAUGUUUCAGUGGUAAGGGGUUGUCACACUACUCUUCCUAACUGCAAGUGGACUUUACUGUUCCCAUGUGUCCAGACAGGAGAGGAAGACAAGAUGUGGGGCCUCCUGGGGAUCCUCUGGAGCUUCCUGGUGAUCCUGGUCAGCCUGUCCCCUGAGAACCUGAAGGAAAAAGUGAGAGGGCACCUCAGGGUACACAAGCAAGCAGAGGCUGAUUCUGCAGGACUGACAGUAGAGAGGGGCCUAAGACGCUCCCUCUACUGACCUGAGUGCAGACCCCUCGACAAAGACCUCCCCAUCCCUGACACCAAUGAUCCCAGGAUGGGGGCCCCUGUGUUGACCUGAGUCAUCCUCGGAGAACAAGUUCCUCACCUCCCCGAGAUCUGAAAACAGGAAUGAGAUGGAGCUACAUCCUGUCACCCCCACAUGGGGUGUCCAGAGCCUGGACCCACUUCCCUCCACCAAUCUCAAGCCGCCACUCAGAGCGAGAACUUCGCUUCUCUUUGACCCCCAACGCCAAGUCAGUGGUGUCACAUCCGGGCACCCGGGGAUUCCCUCGGUUGAAAGCAGGGGCGAAACCGGAUUCUACCAGAAUAGCCUGGGCCCACUUCCCUCCUCCAAUCCCAAGCCGCCUGUCAGACCAAGAAGCUCGCUUCUCUCUGACCCCCAAUGCGCAAAUCAGUGGCGUCACAUCCAGGCCAGGGGCUUCCCGGGGUUGACAGCAGGGGAAGACCCAGAUUCUGCCAGGAUGGAGCUAUAGAGGGAACCUGGGCCUGCUUCCUUCCACCGAUCUCAAGCUGCUCCUAAGACCAAGAACCUGGCUUCUCUCUGAUACCCAAUGCGCAAGUCAGUGGCAUCACAUCCGGGCCACCUGGCGCUUCUGGUUGAUUUGGGAAGCAGAGAAUAGCCGCCCAAAUUUGAUUGUAAUUUUGGCGGCUACAGGUAAGGCACUAAAUUGUAAAUAAUUUAAGUAUAAUUGACAUUUUUACAAUGUUCUGUUCCCCAUCAAUGAACAGGUUAUGCUCCUCUUUAUUUCAGACCCUCUUAACCUGAAUCUAUCAGUAUACUUUGAUAGUUGCCUCUAGAAAGACCUUAUACAUUUUUGUUAGGGUUCUUUUCAGGUUAAUUCUUGGAUUUUGUUACUACUGCAAAUGGCAUAUUUUCUAUUGUUUGUUCUAAUUAGGUAUUGCUUUCGCAUGUCAAAGAUUUUGACUUUGCUAUAGUAAUGUUACACACCUCUUUCUGAAAGCCCAUUCACCUGAAUAUUCCAUUUGCCUAUUCCUUUGAAUUUUCAAGACCGAUAAUGACAUUAUCACUAAACAUUAUGUAUUUUUCCAAUAUUCACAACCCUUAUUUAUUUUGAUACUUAUAGCUCUGACUUUGUGUCUCAAUGAUGAUUUAAAACAUAGAGAUAAUAGCCUACAUCUACUUCUUGCUCCUGACAUUAAUGAUAAUUCUUUGAACGUUUCACAUUUAAGUAUGUUUGCUGUUGAUUUUAGGAAAUAGAAGUUAUCUUUCAAUAUAGGUUAACUAAAUAUUUUUACCAUGAACUCAUCGAAUUUCUUUCAAAAGCUUUUUCUGUACCCAUUAACACAAUCAAAUUUUUUUCUACUCUAUUUUGUAUGUAAAGAAUUACAAUGAAACUUUUUUUCCUAAUGUGGAAUCAUAUUGUCUUUCCUUGGGCAGAGCCUGUUUGUUCAUUUAAUAUUCUACUAAUUUACAUAGAAUAAUUGCUGCUAUGUAACAGAGCUUGCUUGAUGUGUUUUUUAUAUCGGGGUGGGAGGUGGUCCUCAUCUGUUUUUUGAAUCCAAGAGGGCUCAUCUGGGAGAACAAAGUGAACAAUUGCCUAUAUUUUGUGUGCAUUGGAAGAGCUGAGAUAAGAUGGUGGUUAGUUUCCCCUGAUUAUUUAGUAGAAUCGGCCUCCAAAACUGACUAACAUGGAACGUUUGAGGGUGGCUUGAGCUUUGAAUAGUUUGAGCUUGUAUAGUUUCAGUUUGUAAAGUUUAAUUAAGGUUUUCUUUUUGGAUCAAUUUGGUCACUUGGUCACUUAUUUAUUUAUUUCUACAAAGUGAUCAGUUUCACUUAUGAUUUAACUUUUAGUGGAAUGAUAUUUAUGAUAAAAAAUGUUUUAUUAGGGAAAGCCUCAAACAUACAGAUUAAUAGAGAGACUAAUAUAGUGAACCCAGUGUAGAUGACUCUCAGCAUCAAUAACCUUAACUACACGGCAAACCUGUUUCCAGUUAGACACUCACCUACCAGCACCUAAGCUGCUGGAGUAACGUGGAGCAAGUCUAAGACAUCAUACGAUUUCAUCUCUAAAUAAUUCAAUAUGAUAUUUUUAAAAGAUAGGGACUUUGUAUUAAACAAAAACCCAAUAUUAUUUUCAUUUCUAAAAAGUAAAUAAAUGAUUAUCAAAUGUUCAACUGUUUUACACACUUACCUGGUAGACUUAUACUUUAUAAAAAUUGUGUUUCUUUGUAUGAGUACCCAAGUAUAAUAUUAUAUAGUGAUUUUUUGGUCAUACUCCUUAAGUCUUCUAUCAUUUGUAGGUCCCCUCCACAUGACCUGUUUUCUUGCCACUGUUUUGUUGUUGUUGGAAAGAAACAGAUCUUGUGUUCUUUCCAGUUUUCCAUAGUCUGGAUUUGGCUGAAUACAACACUGUGAUGUCCUUUAUCAUAUUCUUUAGCCCUCCAUUUCUAGGACUACAAGAUGCUCUAGGCUCAUUGGGUUUAUGCCCUGCCCCAGUCCUAAAAUCAGCCAUUUCUCCAGAGAUCUGGUUCCUUUUAAUAGGAAAUGGUUCUAGAAAUUUACAUCUGGGUGCUAGGUGUGCUCAUUGCUACUUUUGCUUUUGGUGUUGAAUUUACAAACUUUUUACCAAACUUAAAGUAAUGUAAAUUUUCUCUUAUUUUCUUAUAGAAGUUGUAUAAUUUUUGCAUUUUGCAUUAGGUCUAUGAUGUAGCUUGAGUUAAUCUUUGUGAAAUACCUAAGGAUUUGUCUAGGUUAUUAUUAUUAUUGUUGGUGUAUAGAUGUCCAAUUUUUCAUGCACCAUUUGUUGGAACAACUAUACUUUCAGCAUUAUUGCUUUGUUAUAAAUCACCUGAAUAUAUGUGUGCAGGUCUAUUUCUGGGCUGUAUUCUGUUUUUUUAAUAUAUGUUCUUUAUCCAUUCACCAAAAGAAAUACAUCUUGGAUGCUUCUAUUUUUGGUGAUUAUGAAAUAAGCUAUUGUACACAUUCACAUACAAAUUUUUAUGUAGGCGUAAGUUUUCAAAUCAGUUGGGUAAAUACCUAGGCGUAGGACUGCUGAAUCUUAUCGUAAGACUAUGUUCAGUUUUUUUAAGAAAAUGCCAAACUGUCUACUUCCAAAGUGGCUGCAUCAUUUUGCAUUUCCACCAUCAAUGAAUGAGAGUUUCUGUUGCUCCACAUCUUCACUAGCAAUUGGUCUUUUUUUUAUCUUAGACAUUCUAAUAGGUGUAUAGUGGUUUCUCAUUUUAGUACACAAUUCUCUAAUGACAAAAGACGUCCAGGACUUUUACUAUGCUUAUUUGCCAUCUGUAUAUCUUCUUUGGUGUACUGUCUGUUCAGAUCUUCAACUAUUUUCGUUUAUUUUCUAUUGUUGAGUUUUAAGAAGUUGUGUAUAUUGUAGAGACAAGUUCUUUAUCACAUAUGUGUGCUACAGAUGUUUUCUGCUAGUCUGUAGCUUCUGUUUUUAUUCUGUUAACUCUGUUUUUUGAAGAGCAUAAGAUUUUUAUUUUAAUAAAAUCCAACUUGGCUAAUUUUUCCUUCAUUGAUGAUACUUUUGGUGCUGAAUUUUAAAACUCAUCAUCAAACUCAAAUUUGUGUAGAUUUUCUCUUACGCUUUCUUCUAGAAGUUGUAUGGUUUUUGCAUUUUGCAUUAGAUCUAUGACGUAUUUUGAGUUGAUCUUGUGAAAUUUUUAAGGAUAUGUCUAGGUUAUUAUUAUUAUUAUUAUUAUUAUUUGUGUCUAGAUGUCCAAUUGUUCAGGCACCACUUGUUGGAAAAAACUAUACUUUUACCAUUAUUGCCUUUGUUGCAAUUCACCUGACUAUAUGUGUGCCAGUCUGUUUCUGAGCUCUAUUCUGUUUUAUUAAUCUAUGUGUUUAUUCUUUGCUAAUGGUUAUGUCCUCUACCGCAUUCAUAUUUUGAAUCCCUCAGCUCCAGGGUGUCUGUAUUUGGAGAUGGGGCCUCUAAGGAAGUAAUUAAUAUUGAAAGAGGUCAUAAGGGUGGGGCCUUGAUCCCAUAAGAUUAGUGUGGUUAUAAGGGAAGCAAGAAAGCACUCUUGUGCUUGCAUGAGUUCUCUCUCUCUCUCUCUCACCCUCUCCCUCCCUCUCUCUCUCACUCUCUCCCUCCCUCUCUCUCUCUCUCCCUCCCUCCCUCCCUCCUUCCCUUUCUCCCUCCCUCCUUCCCUUUCUCCCUCUCUCCAUGCACAUGCACAGAUGAAAGGACAAGAAUGAACAUAAUGAGAAUGGGCCAUCUACAAGCUGGGAAUAAGAAACUGACCCUCCAGUCCUUUAUCUGUGACUUUUAGUCUCCAAAACUGUGAAAAAAAAUAAUUUCUGUUGUUUCAGCUAAAUAAUCCAUGCCAUUUUGUUAUGGAAGCCAAAGCUGACUAAAACAUAACCACAGGUUAUAAAACUUUUCUUCUGUUUUCUCCUAGAAAAAAAGUAUUUUUGACAUUUAGGGCUAUGAUUCAUUUUGAGUUACAUUUUUGUAUGGGGCAAGGUAUGUGCAAUGGUUAGUUUUAUGUGUUAGCUUUUCUAGGCUAUAGUACUCAGUUGUGUGGUCAAACACUAGCCUAGCUGUUGCUGUGAAGGUAUUUUGUACAUGUGAUCAACAUUUACAAUCGAUUUUAAGUAAAGCAGUUUACCUCCAUAACGUGGGUGCGCCUCAUCCAAUCAGUUGAAGGUCUUAAAAGACCGAGGUUUCCUGGAGAAGGAAUUCUACCACAAGAUUGGAACGUAAAAACGCUGUGUCAGUUUCUAGCCUGCUGCCCUGUCCUACAGAUUUUGGAUGUAUCAGACCUCAUAGUCACCUGAGACAAUUCCUUAAAAUAUCUUUCUUUCUCUCUCUCCCUUUAUAGAUAGAUAGAUAGAGUAUGGAUUGAAAUUUAGUUUUGCAUAUGGAUAUCCAAUUGUUUCAGAUCAAAUUGUUGAAUAUACUAUCAUUUCUUUCCUCUAAUCUUCAUUUGCAUCUUUAUCAAUAAUUAGUUGUCUAUAUAUACAUAUACAUGUGGAUCCACUCCUGGACUUUAUUCUCUUCCAUUGAUAUACUGCUAUAAUUAUGACAGUUCCACACUAUACUGAUCAUUGCGAGUUUAUAAGCCUUGAAAUGAAGUAGGGUAACUCCCCCAACUUUGUUCUAUUUUUUAGUUUUCUUUGACUAUUCUAGGGCCUUUGCACAUCUAUAUGAAUGUUAGAGUCAGUCUCUCAAUUUAUAUUUUAAAAAUCCUGGAAUUUUGAUUUUUAUUGCAUUGAAUAUGUCAAAAACUUUGAGGGCAAAUGACAUCUUAAUAUUCAGUCUUUUGACUCAUGAAUAAAGUGUAUGUCUCUGUUUACUUAGAUUCUAAUUAAAUUUAUCUCUCUAAUGUUUUAUAGUUUUCAAUGGAUAGAUCUUAUACAUCUUCUGUCAUAUUUAUCCAUUUAAUAUUUAUUGUCUAAUGCUAUUUUAAAUUGCAUUGUUUUUGUCUCAGUUGCCAAUUGCUCAUUGCUAGUGUAAAAACACAAGUAUAAUGAUCUAUAUCCAGCAACAUUGCUAAACUCUUAUUAGUUUUAGAAGCAUUUUUUUGAUAGAUAGAAUUGUCCGUAUAUACUCUUAUUUUCUGUAAAUAAAGACAGUUUUAUUUGUCCCUUUCCAAUACGAAGGCCUUUUAAAAAAACUUAUUACACUGGACAGAACCUCAGGCACGUUGUUGAACUAUUCUUCUCAACACCACCCUUUUCCAUGAACUCGUCAGUCUUAGGUUUUAGUUUCCUACAUGCAAAUAUCCUGCGUAAUUUCUGGCAUGAAAAUCUGCCUCAUUCACUCUACACUGUUAAAAUCCAAGCCUGGGUACCACAUCUACUGAGAUGAGCAUAACCCUACAGUUGAAACAAGACACAUAAGAUGUCCAGUGGAGCAAAUGUAUUCACUGGAGUUUGACAGCCUGAAUGCAGUGAUUUCAGACUGGGGAAAACUGAAACCCCAGGAGACUUCUGUGGACACUUUUCCAUUGGUAGGAUGGGAAAGUUCCUUGGUGGUAUCCAAGUGAGUGGUCUUCAAGAUGCAUAAGAGAAAUUUUUAGGAGUGAAGUAGGAUGAUUCACAUCUACACAUAUAUUUAAAUACAGUCAGAUUACCUCGGAGAGAUUUCCGGUAAGAUGUACAAAAACUAGAUAAUGGUGGGAGAAAACAGAAGGAAGCACUGAAGUGGGGUGACUUUGGGAAAAGGCUUAGAGGAAAUACUCUCUCCCUGCCAUGUGACCCACCCAAGUUGAACAUGGGAGGAAAGGAGCACCGCUACUCAGUUUGGGAAAGCUCUUUAGGAGUGCUAAAGAAAUGUCCCCUUUUUCUUCAAUCAGAGCAUCCUGGCUUUGUCAUCAGACUCCCCUCUUCCCUCUCUCCAUACCCCUUCCCCCCUCCCACUCACGACAAUGUCCUUAUAGUGCUUUGUGAUGUCUAAGCCCCUCACCCCUCAGAGCCACCAUUGGCUGGGUAGUGGCUUGCUGAUCCAUCAAAGCUCACAGGUAUGGCUUUAUUGUCACGGUGGAAGGGGGUGUAUAUAUAGGGAGGCCAGGAGGCAUGGAGUAGACGAUUGAGAGACACUGACAUGGUGAAGAUGACCAGGAAACCACAAACCUCCAGCCCAGGUGUCAAAGAACAACCACCUGCCAACACCAAAGGGGCAAGGAACAGGAAGGCCCCCUGUCAAACUAAGUCUAUAAGUCCUAUCAAGGUGAGAGAAGCUCCUCUUAGUCUUCCCCUUGACUCCUCCCUCCCAAGACUCCUACCCUGUCCUACCCUACCCCCACCUCAGCCAGUACCUCUUCUCCUGAAGCCCCUGUUCCCACCCCUCCUCCAUUCUCUUCCCCAAAAUCAGUCCCCUUCUGUGAUCUCCCUGUUGUCCUUUCAGGUUCCUAAGACAACCAGGAAGGGAAAAGGAAACCUUUUAGGGAAUUCCAGAAAAAAAAAAAACAACUCUCCCAAAAAAGAUCUCUGCUUCAAGAAAACCUGAGGAAGGAAGCGAGCCAAAACUAUCCAGCCCCUGUGACCAGCUGAAUGAGGAACUUAAUCAAAAUUAGCCACAGCAGGACCAAAGCAAGGAGACCUCCAACAUCCCUAGUGUCUCCCCGGGCAGCCAGUAAUUUCAGGGCAAGACCAGAGAACUCAGAUUUACCUGAAAAGUCUCCAGAGGUCUAACCCCAAAUAAAUAGCCAACAGGGUCUAGAGUACGUUUUACACCCCACAGGGUACACCCCACGGUGAUCAAAAUAAAAAGAACCUGUUGUAAAA